GUGGGGAAUAUUGCACAAUGGGCGCAAGCCUGAUGCAGCAACGCCGCGUGAGGGAUGACGGCCUUCGGGUUGUAAACCUCUUUUAGCAGGGAAGAAGCGAAAGUGACGGUACCUGCAGAAAAAGCGCCGGCUAACUACGUGCCAGCAGCCGCGGUAAUACGUAGGGCGCAAGCGUUGUCCGGAAUUAUUGGGCGUAACGAGCUCGUAGGCGGUUUGUCGCGUCUGCUGUGAAAUCCCGAGGCUCAACCUCGGGCCUGCAGUGGGUACGGGCAGACUAGAGUGCGGUAGGGGAGAAUGGAACUCCUGGUGUAGCGGUGGAAUGCGCAGAUAUCAGGAAGAACACCAAUGGCGAAGGCAGUUCUCUGGGCCGUAACUGACGCUGAGGAGCGAAAGCAUGGGGAGCGAACAGGAUUAGAUACCCUGGUAGUCC
RNAcentral lists this ribosomal RNA (430 nucleotides) under uncultured bacterium. Its description in RNAcentral is "partial 16S ribosomal RNA". It matches the Rfam family "Bacterial small subunit ribosomal RNA", at positions 354 to 796 of the family's 1533-position model. The record is from RNAcentral.